CCCAUAUUUUCAAGUAACCAAAGUCCCGAAACUUCAAACCGGCAGCAAUGUUGGAUCUCCAUCGAUCUCCUUCCUCCACAAUUCAUUCAAGCGACAAUGGUGGACCUCUAUCAAUUGAAUCUUUGUGCAAAUGAUGAGAUAAGAGUUAGACCUUACUCACAGUAGAACUAGGGAAACUUAUUGUCAAGCUUGGAUAGAGUACACCAAGACGUUAAACCUCUCACUAACGCCACGUAUUCUUGUCCAUCGAAGACUUCUUCAGUUCAAACAAACUUGAUCCAGUUCCUGUGUGAGAGGUGGUAAUCUUCCGUUCUCACUCAGAUAAGUAUAACCACAGCCUUACCAAUUGUUGUUGUCUCUAUCAGUGCCUUCUAGAGUACCAUUUUCCUUAAACCUUUGCCUUUUGACAGAUUGAGCUCCGAGGGAACUGAUACCACUGUCUAAAAAUCUAGGAUCUAAAGUCCAUGGACAUCUAUUAGGUAUAAAGCUCAUCUUAUUGCAAAGGGAUUUACCCAGCGUCCAGGCUUAGACUUCCAUUCCACCUUCAGCCCGGUAGUCAAACCAGUUAUUGUUCAGUUGGUGCUUACCAUUGCGACGCAGUACAACUGGCCAAUCCAGCAGAUUGAUGUUAAUAAUGCAUUCUUACAAGAAAGCCUUAAGGAAGAAUUUUAUAUGAGGUAGCCACCAGGCUUUGAAGAUCAAAGUCACUCCACCCAUGUCUGUAAGUUGAAUAAAGCAAUCUAUGGCUUGAAACAGUCCCCCCGAGCUUGGUAAAAUGAGCUCAAAAAUUAUUUGCUAAUUGUUGGGUUUGUCAAGUCCCAAUCUGAUUAUUCUUUAUUUAUUUUGCAUAAUUUUGGAUUCACUUUUUAUGUUCUUAUCUAUGUGGAUGAUAUAAUCAUCACUGGAAAUCAUAUUUGUGGGGUUUUGUCAUACAAUUGAUGGUGUUUCCACUCGUUUCUCCUUGAAAGACCUUGAACAGCUCUAUUAUUUUUUAGGUGUUUGAGGUUAUCUCUUCUACUGCUCAUCUUUUUUUGUCCCAGCACAAGUAUAUUAUGGAUAUUUUAGAGGAUGUUGGCAUGCUAGACAGUAAAGAAGUUCCUACACCUAUGACCUCAACUACCAUUUUGACAACUUAAGUGAAUGAUCCUCCGGCUAAUGGUACUCUUUAUAGGUGGGUAAUUGGAAAGUUGCACUACUUAUCCUUUACACGUCCUGAUAUUGCCUUCACAGCUAGAAAGCUCUCUCAAUUUAUGUAAAAUCCACGCCACUCACACUGGAAAGGAGUCAAGCGAUUGCUUUGUUAUCUUCGUCACACCUGCCAAUAUGGCAUAUAGAUUGCCAAAGCUCCAUAUUCUUGUUUGGUUGUUUACUCAGAUUCAGAUUGGGCUGGUGAUCCAAAUGAUCGCAUUUUUACCUCUGGCUAUAUCACAUUCUUGGGCAACACACUAACUUUCUGGGCCUCUAAGAAACAAUGCUUCGUAUCUCAGUCCUCUACAGAAGUUGAGUAUUGAGUUAUGGUUGCUGCUGUUGCAGAAACCAAUUGGAUUAAAAACCUUCUUCAUGAACUUCGGCUUUAACUUAAGGGAGUUCCACAGGUUUUCUGUGACAACAUCAGCACCACUUACAUUUGUUCCAGUACAGUCUUUCAUAGUAGGAUGAAACAUGUUGCCAUUGGUUUUCACUUUGUUCGUGAAAAAGUUCAGAAUAAGGAUAUUGAAGUUCACCACCUUCACUCAGCUGAUCAAGUGGCUGACAUACUCACAAAACCCCUUACCAGAGAUUCUUUUGUCCAGCAAUUUUCCAAGUUGGGUGUUGUUGACACCACCAACUUGCAGGGGCGUAAUAACUGAUCAGAUUUAGUAGUGUCUUCUCUUUAGACUCUGUUGUAACUUCCUCCUUGUA
Solanum tuberosum (potato) is the source of this 1902-nucleotide long non-coding RNA. RefSeq lists it as uncharacterized. The record is from RefSeq and is a predicted model, not a curated record. The transcript is spliced from 3 exons. Lineage: Eukaryota; Viridiplantae; Streptophyta; Magnoliopsida; Solanales; Solanaceae.